CAUUCAACUUCCAAGGCGUAAAUCUGAAUUUCUCCUAAUCUUAAAAUUGCAUAGGUUUUAUAAGUCUGUCCAUAGAUGUAGUUAAACUAGGGCGGAGGGACGAUGGAAAAGUAUUAUAUAUACGCAUCAUUUUUUUAAAGACUAAUCCUCGUAAAAACGUUAAAAUGGGGUGAGGGCGGGAGCUGGGGCGGAAGCAGCGCAGGGAUAUACGUAUCAGGAUACCGGAAAUGCGGUGAGAAGCCGGAGGAAGCUCUGUUCCUGGAGGGGAGCCGCCGCCAUCUCAGGUCUCUUGGCCUCGCCAGGCUCCACCAGAGAGAGUUGCAGCCAGGUCCUAUAAUCCUUAUGGAGGACCAACCUUGUACCUCCGGGAGAUCCACGCUCCCACCUGGAAACACGCGGGAAACCAAGCCUCCAAAAAAGCGCUGCCUCCUAGCUCCACGGUGGGAUUAUCCGGAAGGAACCCCGAACGGAGGUAGUACUUCUCUCCCCACCGCACCUCCUCCUGCAUCGCCCGGCCUAACGUCGCACCCUCCUCCUCCGGAGAAGUAGUAAAAUAUACUUCUCCCACCUUAAAACAGUCUUUGAAGGAUUGCGGUAUGAGUCCUUUUCGUUCAUGCGUUUGUAAAAUAGUUCAUCCAGUGAAGACAAUGAAGAUUAUUGACAAUGCUACCCUGCUUUUUCUGUUGUCCUGCGCUGGGAAGUUGUGAUUUUAAGUUUUGUGAUAUAGUUAGCAUAACUCCAUAUCCUGGUUUGGAUGAAUCCUGGGACAUGAUCAAGAUAAGACUGUAGACCUCGAAGAUUGAAGGCCAUGGCCUGGAUCAUGGUGAACUCACAAAGCAAAUAACGCCUGUGAGAUGAUCCUGCAGCAGUCAAUCCAUGUUUUCUUUUGGUGACACCCAGUCCUUACUGUAUAACUUUUAAUUUCUAUAAAUCCAUUAAGGUCCUAAUAAAUUUUGUUUCUCAUUGCUAUGUUAGCUCUGUAUGACUACUAUUUAGUAAAUUGUGAAUAUUCAGUAAAUGUUUCAUAACAAUUCCAAAUAUAAAAUAUUACUAAAAUUAGUGUCAAAAUAUGACUUUUUUCUACAAAUGGCCAUCCAGUCAUUGUUCGAUGUAAUGUGAAAAUAUCAGGACAGUGUGUGUGGGGUUAAGUGGUAAAACAUGAAAAAGAUUUGAGUUUCCAGAAUAUUCUCCACUUUACUGUGAAUUUUUCUAUGGUAUUUAUCUAUGUAGUCUAUGAUAUCCCGUAUUCUGCAUCUUAACUGUUUUCCUGGCCAAGAUGGUUGUUGUGCUUGUUACAUGUAAUUUUCCACUUUACUUUUAUAAUACUCAUAUUAAGUAAAUAGGUAUCUUAAUUAGAAGCAUUAAUAAAAAUUAUGGUGAAAAACACAAGGAGAAUGAGAAAACCUCAGUCAGCAUCUUGCUCGUAUCUCAUAACUUGUUCAAAAUGAAAAUAUUUAAAGUUAAUUUUGGGGAGGACUUUACGUACAUUAAAUAAUAUGGUAAAGAUACAAUAAUUGAAACAAGGUAUUACUGGCAUAGACAUAUGUACACAAGUCA
Long non-coding RNA from Hipposideros armiger (great roundleaf bat), 1557 nucleotides. RefSeq lists it as uncharacterized. The transcript has 4 exons. The record is from RefSeq and is a predicted model, not a curated record. NCBI's taxonomy places the organism in Eukaryota, Metazoa, Chordata, Mammalia, Chiroptera, Hipposideridae.